Molecule: small nuclear RNA, 107 nt
Filed under: Castor canadensis (American beaver)
Lineage: Eukaryota; Metazoa; Chordata; Mammalia; Rodentia; Castoridae
Source: RNAcentral
GUACUUGCUUCAGCAGCACAGAUACAAAAACUGGAAUGAUACCGAGAAGAUUAGCAUGGCCCCUGUGUAAAAAUGACAUGCAAACUCGUGAAGUGGCCCACAUUUUU